AAAAAAAUCCUUCGUGGUUUGAUCUAAUCUAUAGCUACAGACCACAGUUCAAAAGUGAAAGACCCUCUGCAAAGAAAAAAAAUGUUGAGAAAUUAUGUGAACGCAAGAUUAAUCUCCAAGCCUAAUAUAAGAUCACCAUGUCUUUACUCUCUUUACCUUAAGAGAGGAAGUGCGAGUGGAGGAAGGGAAGAAGGAAGAGAUCCUCUUUCCACGCUACAGAAGCUCGAGAGACAAGGUAUUGCUAGCCAGACGUCGGAGAAAGCUUACGACUGAGCAGCGGAGGCGAUCAACGUGUCUAGUGAUUCUGAGGCGGAUAAGGAGAAAGUGAAAGAAGAGUUUGAAAAGAGGGAAGAGGGUAGAGACUAUCGCAAGAGGUGUGAUGAUGAUCGUUUGCCUAUCAACACUGCUAAAGGAGUAUGAUGAUGAAAGGUCUUAUAUGCACUUGUUAGUAUCAUCGUAUGAUGGAGAUGGUAACCUACAUUUGUAUGUGAUAAUAUAGUCGUGUGCGAUUUUGGGUAUA
Molecule: RNA transcript, 520 nt
Organism: Brassica napus (rape)
Lineage: Eukaryota; Viridiplantae; Streptophyta; Magnoliopsida; Brassicales; Brassicaceae
Exons: 2
Source: RefSeq, a predicted model, not a curated record